AUGAACGCUGGCGGCGUGCCUAAUACAUGCAAGUCGCGCGAACAGACGAGGAGCUUGCUCCUCUGACGUUAGCGGCGGACGGGCGAGUAACACGUGGAUAACCUACCUAUAAGACUGGGAUAACUUCGGGAAACCGGAGCUAAUACCGGAUAAUAUAUUGAACCGCAUGGUUCAAUAGUGAAAGACGGUUUUGCUGUCACUUAUAGAUGGAUCCGCGCCGCAUUAGCUAGUUGGUAAGGUAACGGCUUACCAAGGCAACGAUGCGUAGCCGACCUGAGAGGGUGAUCGGCCACACUGGAACUGAGACACGGUCCAGACUCCUACGGGAGGCAGCAGUAGGGAAUCUUCCGCAAUGGGCGAAAGCCUGACGGAGCAACGCCGCGUGAGUGAUGAAGGUCUUCGGAUCGUAAAACUCUGUUAUUAGGGAAGAACAAAUGUGUAAGUAACUAUGCACGUCUUGACGGUACCUAAUCAGAAAGCCACGGCUAACUACGUG
RNAcentral lists this ribosomal RNA (496 nucleotides) under uncultured bacterium. Its description in RNAcentral is "partial 16S ribosomal RNA". It matches the Rfam family "Bacterial small subunit ribosomal RNA", at positions 29 to 507 of the family's 1533-position model. The record is from RNAcentral.